GUGCUCACUUUGGCAACACAUACACUAAAAUUGGAACGAUACAACGAAUAUUAGCAUGGUCCUUGUAUGAGGAUGACACGUAAAUUCCUGAAGCGUUCCAUAUUUUU
Small nuclear RNA from Sciurus vulgaris (Eurasian red squirrel), 107 nucleotides. The record is from Ensembl. NCBI's taxonomy places the organism in Eukaryota, Metazoa, Chordata, Mammalia, Rodentia, Sciuridae.